CGCCUAACAUGGGGCUUGAACCCACGACCCUGAGAUUAAAAAUUUCAUACUUUACCGACUGAGCUAGCCGGGC
Cordylochernes scorpioides is the source of this 73-nucleotide non-coding RNA. The record is from the annotation of a GenBank genome assembly. Lineage: Eukaryota; Metazoa; Arthropoda; Arachnida; Pseudoscorpiones; Chernetidae.